UCCUCAAACACAGCCACUUCCCAGCACAUGUUCUGUCCAACCUCGACGUCCCAGCUGUGAGUCCCUGAGUUGAAGCCCUCAGAGCCCAGGACUGAGGAGCAUUCAUAAAUCCUCUCUGGAUUAUCAGGAAGCUGCUGUGUCUCCUCUCCUCGUCUCACACAGGUCAGAUCUUCAGACAGGAUUAGUUUUGAACCAGCAGCGUUUGGGUCCAGAAUCACAGGACUGUAGGAGACCAUGUCCUUCAUCUUGUUCCAGAUGUUGAAGCUCAGGUUGCCCAGGUGUUUAGCCACAUCUAUCAGAGCUCCUGAGGGCAGCUGUGGAUCCUCCAGCAGGGGGCGCUGCUGGACUCUUUCCACUGCAGCCUUGUAGUUUUUCAGGAAUGAGACGUCUGCAGCUCUCAGCUCCUCCUCUGUGGCUCUGACUGUGUCUGAAAGAACUGCUAUCUCUCUGCUCACAGCCUCCAUCUCUUCCUUCAUCCUCUGACUCUUCUGCUCCUCUUCCUCCCUCAGUGCAGAGAUUCUGACCUCCUCUUCCUCUUCUAGAAACUGGUGAAGCUUCUUAAACUGCUCCUUUAUCUUCCUCUCUGUGUCUGCAGUCUGGACCUUGAUGUGUUUUCCUGUUUCAUUCCAGACUUUUUCAAAGCGCUGCAGUUUCUCCUCUAAAGGUUUCAGGGAUUCCUGGAGCUGGUCCCUGAGAUCUGGAGCAGCUUCAUCGAUGGGUCUGAAUGUGUGGUUGGUGUGUUUUUUAGAGUCUCUGCAGACGAGACACGCUGGCUGCUGAUGAUCCAGACAGAACAGUCUGAGUUUCUCAGAGUGCAGACUGCAGAGAGCCUCAGAGUCUGAUGAAGCUCUCUGAUCUCUCUGCAGUAAGAAGGCCUCACACAGGUUCUGCAACACCAAGUUACAAGGAGGUUCAGAUCUUGAAGAUCUUCUCUUACAGACUGGACACUCCUGGCUCUGUUUCUGUGUCCACCAGCUCUGCAGACAGGCUUUACAGAAGCUGUGGCUACAUGACAGAAUCACAGGAUGUUUGAAGAUGUCAUGGCAGACAGAACAGCACAGAUCCUCCUCGAAACAAGAAGCCAUUUUCCUCUGAGUGAAGCAAAACUCACGACAGGCAGACAGCUGAGAAACAGAGUGACUGGGUGGAGGGCGGAGCUUUGUUGCUGCUGGUUUUGACGUUCAGCUGGAGCAGAGGUGAUCAAGUAUUUUAAAGACAUCGUGUCACUGUUAGGUGUUAAAGCAGUUAUCAGACACUAAAUGUAAAACAGUUUGGACGCGGUGUAAAAUGUUGAUCAAAACAAAUUUGAUGGUUUGGAAGUUUUAUCAAAAAUAAUGCAAAGACAAGAUUCCAAAAGUUAAUAAAUGAUUUAUUGUUUCAUUAAAAUAUAUGAUUGUUUUGAAUUUGAUGCCAGGAGCAUGUUUCAGACAAGUUUGGACAGGGUCAACAAAACACUGAACAAAGUUGUUUAAUGUUUAUAAAAACACACCUGGGUGAA
Molecule: long non-coding RNA, 1498 nt
Organism: Notolabrus celidotus (New Zealand spotty)
Lineage: Eukaryota; Metazoa; Chordata; Actinopteri; Labriformes; Labridae
Exons: 2
Source: RefSeq, a predicted model, not a curated record